GAUCAUUACCGAGUGCGGGCCCUCUGGGUCCAACCUCCCAUCCGUGUCUAUCUGUACCCUGUUGCUUCGGCGUGGCUACGGCCCGCCGAAGACUAACAUUUGAACACUGUCUGAAGUUUGCAGUCUGAGUUUUUAGUUAAACAAUAAUUAAAACUUUCAACAACGGAUCUCUUGGUUCCGGCAUCGAUGAAGAACGCAGCGAAAUGCGAUAAUUAAUGUGAAUUGCAGAAUUCAGUGAAUCAUCGAGUCUUUGAACGCACAUUGCGCCCCCUGGUAUUCCGGGGGGCAUGCCUGUCCGAGCGUCAUUGCUGCCCUCAAGCACGGCUUGUGUGUUGGGCUUCCGUCCCUGGUAACGGGGACGGGCCCAAAAGGCAGUGGCGGCACCAUGUCUGGUCCUCGAGCGUAUGGGGCUUUGUCACCCGCUCCCGUAGGUCCAGCUGGCAGCUAGCCUCGCAACCAAUCUUUUUAACCAGGUUGACCUCGGAUCAGGUAGGGAUACCCGCUGAACCUAAGCAUAUCAAUAAAGCGGAGG
RNAcentral lists this unclassified non-coding RNA (532 nucleotides) under Aspergillus ruber. RNAcentral's name for it is "sequence contains 18S rRNA gene, ITS1, 5.8S rRNA gene, ITS2, 28S rRNA gene". The stretch from base 152 to 305 matches the Rfam family "5.8S ribosomal RNA". Lineage: Eukaryota; Fungi; Ascomycota; Eurotiomycetes; Eurotiales; Aspergillaceae. The record is from RNAcentral.